GUGUCAGCCGCCGCGGUGAUACGGAGGGUGCAAGCGUUAAUCGGAAUUACUGGGCGUAAAGCGCACGCAGGCGGUGAAUUAAGUCAGAUGUGAAAGCCCCGAGCUUAACUUGGGAAUUGCAUCUGAAACUGGGUGGCUAGAGUCUCGUAGAGGGGGGUAGAAUUCCAUGUGUAGCGGUGAAAUGCGUAGAGAUGUGGAGGAAUACCGGUGGCGAAGGCGGCCCCCUGGACAAAGACUGACGCUCAGGUGCGAACGCGUGGGGAGCAAACAGGAUUAGAUCCCCUGGUAGUCCACGCUGUAAAAGAUGUCGAUUUAGAGGUUGUGGUCUUGAAGCGUGGCUGCUGGAGCUAACGCUUUAAAUCGACCGCCUGGGGAGUACGGCCGCAAGGUUAAAACUCAAAG
This 402-nucleotide ribosomal RNA is filed under the name Proteus mirabilis. RNAcentral describes it as "bacterial SSU rRNA". It matches the Rfam family "Bacterial small subunit ribosomal RNA", at positions 505 to 906 of the family's 1533-position model. Lineage: Bacteria; Pseudomonadati; Pseudomonadota; Gammaproteobacteria; Enterobacterales; Morganellaceae. The record is from RNAcentral.